This 8219-nucleotide long non-coding RNA is filed under the name Populus trichocarpa (black cottonwood). Its description in RNAcentral is "long non-coding RNA (PTRI_LNC004544)". The record is from RNAcentral. Lineage: Eukaryota; Viridiplantae; Streptophyta; Magnoliopsida; Malpighiales; Salicaceae.
AGAGGCACAUUCAUCCAGAACACCCUCUUCGUCUACUGCCAAAUCAUCACAUGAUCUGUGGUUUUUGCAAAGAAACUUGCUAUGAGAGUUUUGUUUACUGCUGUUUUGUGUGCGAAUUCAACCUCCAUAUCAAAUGUGCUUUUCCACCAUGCGUUUAUGCAGCUGAUCAGGAUCAGGGGCAUCAAUUUAGAAGCCUGCUGAAUCCACUUUCAUUAAAAUCAAUCUCCUUCACUUGCAAUGCAUGUGGCACUGAGAGAGAUGACUCCCCUUUCAUGUGCACCACGUGCCAACUCUUGGUCCACGAAGAAUGCAUUUCAUUGCCACGCACCCUUAAAACGGCACUGCACCAUCAUCCCCGAAUCAUCCACACGUAUCAACAUCAACAAUGCAUCGAAUCGAUAAACAAGUACUGUGGAAUUUGCCGUCUGGAAGUUGACUCAAAAUACGGAGUUUACUAUUGCCCAGACUGUGACUUCGUUGCACACGUGAAUUGUAGUGUAGAAUAUGGCGAUUUUGAAACAGAGAUUGUAGAAGAAAACGAAGAAGAGCAAAGUGUGACGGUUGAUGAUCAAUUCAUGGAACCUAGCUUUCGCGUUGUCCGUGAGAUCAAGCAUGGAGAGGAGAGAAUAAUUGAAGAGAUCGAGCAUUUCAGUCAUCAACAUAACCUAAUCCUUAUUGACAAGGUUGAUGAUGAUCUAAAGUGUGAGGGGUGCAUGCUACCAAUCUCAACUCCAUUUUAUAGGUGUGCCAGGUGUAAUUUCUUUCUUGACAAAACCUGCAUAGAAUUACCCAGGAAAAAAAAGUGGCAAUAUCACGAAAACCAACUGAUUCUUUCAUGGAACCGAGGGUCACAUGAUCUGUACUACUGUCAUGUGUGUAAUCAAGUUUCUCGUGGGCUCAGCUACUUUUGUGAUAUAUGUAGACUCUCCAUUGAUGUCCGAUGCUUCAAAUCAUUGAAAGAUUCUUUUAAACAUGGAGGUCAUGAGCAUCCCCUUUAUCUUCCAGCGGACAGAAAGAAUAUUCUCCGUUGCAGUAAUAUUGGAGGUAGCUGGCCUCCCCCUUUGCUUGCAGCGGACGGAGAGAAUAUUCCCCAUUGCAGUGGCUGUUGUGUCAGUGAAGAAUCGAAGGUGUUUUUUAAAUGUGUGGUUUGCGAUUUCAAGCUGGGUAUGAAAUGUGCUACACUGCCAUACAAAGCAAGACACGAGUAUGAUGACCAUCCUCUCUUCCUCACCUAUAUCAAUGCAAAUGACUACCAACCUUCCUGUAUAAUUUGUGAAAAAGAUAGAGACCCAAAGCUCUGGUUCUACCGUUGUGAGGAAUGCGACUUCGAUGCUCAUCCAGAAUGUGCUCUCGGGAAAUACCCAUACGUCAAGCCAGGGGGGGUUCACACGUAUCCUAAACACCCUCACCCUAUUGCUUUGGUCGACAAGACAGAGGAUUAUCGUCCACAGGCAUGCGAUACUUGUGGUGAGCCUUGCGACGACUUGGCCCUUGAAUGUACUGAUCCUAACUGCAGUUUUAUCGUCCACAGGAAAAGAUGGCAAUGCUUUCAGUCAUUACUAUAUUAAUGCAAAUGACUACCAACCUUCCUGCAUAAUUUGUGAAAAAGAUAGAGACCCGAAGCUCUGGUUCUACCGUUGUGACUCAUCCAGAAUGUGCUCUCGGGAAAUACCCAUAUGAGAUCACUUGUGGCUAAACACCCUCACCCUCUUGCUUUGGUCGACAAGACAGAGGAUUAUGCAGCAUGCGAUACUUGUGGUGAGCCUUGCGAUGACUUGGCCCUUGAAUGUACUGAUCCUAACUGCAAUUUUAUCGUCCACUAUAAAAGAUGGGAAUGCUUUGAGUCGUUAUGGUAGUUGGAUCGCAGUUGUUGGCUUUUUUCUUAUUUUUGGGUUAUGAUUGUUGGCAGUUGCAAGACAGAGGAUUAUUAUCUCUGUUUCUAUUUUCGCAUAUGAGAUCACUUUUUUUCUCUCUGUUUUUUUUAUUUUCUGAACAAUAAAAGAUGCAAUUUCAUUAAGACUGUCCUUGAAGGUAGUUUGUUGUUUCUGUUUGCCUUCGUAGUGACAGAGAUGUCUGACCUUCCACCAUUUUUCUUAGCUCAGCAGGAAGCUCUUGAUCCUCUCCAUAAAUUAUUCUACUUAUUGUUUCGAUUCCCUCUUUACAUUUUUGUUAUAGAUUUUAUUGUAAAUGCAUAAAAAUAUUGUCAUAUAAAAUAACACUUACCUGAUUUUUCUUAGAUAAUUACUAUGUGUAUAUCUGCGACGUGUAUAUGUUGUCAUAUAAUAAAAUAUUGUCAUAUAAUAAUUCUCUAAUUAAAAUAUAAUAUUAUAGUGUUUAUAUAUUAAAAAAAAUAUGAAAUAAAAAUAAAAUUUAAACUAAAUAGGAAAAAAAAUUCUAAAUCAACUAAUAAAAUAUUACAAGUUGAUAGUUUUUGUGGUUUUAUUUGAAAGUCUUACUGAUUUUAAAAGGCUAUAAAAUUCUAAUUUUAUAGAAAAUAAAGCUUUUAAAAUCUUCUAAUAAAAUUUGAGUUGGAUAAAGUAAAAAAUAAAAAUAAAACUAUACCCUUCACAAGACUACUUAUUUAAGAAAAAAAAAAUCAUAUAUCAAUCUUGUCUCCAAUUCAAAUUGUUGUUGCUUCAAUUUUGUAGGUAUCCAAUUAAAAAUCUCGAACCUUUGCAUGCUGCUAGCAACAUUCCUAGCUUUUUUAUUAUUAAAAAUCUGUUUAUUUUUGUGUUUUAAAAAUAUUUUUUUAAUAAAAAAUUUACUUUAAAUUAAUUUUUUAUGAUAAAGUUAAAAAGAAUUUUUUAAAAAAAUUUAUUUUAAUAUUUUUCUAAAUAAAAAAAUAUUUUAAAAAUCAAUGGAAUAGUUAACGUGGAUUGCGAUUUCAACCCUUGUAAUAAAUGGGCUACUCUGCCAUGUAAAGCUAGACACAUGUACGAUGACCAUCCUCUCUUUCUCACCUCUAAUGAUCCAAAUGACUACCAAUUUGUCUGUCAAAUUUGUGAAAAUCAUAAAGCUCUGUUUCUCCCGUUGUGAGAAAUGCAACUUUGAUACUCAGCCAGGAUGUGCUCUUAGAAAAUACCGAUAUAUCAAGGUAAUGGGCGUUUACACAUGACUUUCAGACUCCCCGAUGCACGAAUCCAUGAAUUCUUCUUCUUCUUCUUCUUCUAUUACUGUGUUGUGUGUCUAGGUUUUUGAAAGAAGAAGAAGAAGAAGAAGAAUUUUAUUUCUUAUUCAUUCAAUAGAUAUGGUUACAAGAUAAAAUAGUAGAGGAUAUCACCAAAUUAGAAAGGCCACAAAUUAGGAAAUCAAAAUAAAGAUCGGAGCAAUCUCUAUUCCAAGAAAAUCCUUAAUCUCUGUUUCACUUGCAAUGCAUGUGGCACUGAUUUGUUGAAGAUUAUUAUACCAUCAGACGUCACAUCUGUUGCAUUUCUUCGUUCAGCUAACCCACUCUCAGACAAUUUUCCCUGUGUAUAGAAAGUUUCACCAAAUUAGGAAAUCAAAAUAAAGAUCGGAUCUCUAGGCUAGAAAAACAAGAAACGGGAGCUUGGUUAAUGUUGACAUAUUCACAGGCAUUCACAGUUUCUUCAAGGAUUCUCUUUAGCCAUAACAUUUCACAAACUUCAUUGCCAUAACCCUAUAUUCUACCUCAGCACUGCUUCUUGCAACCACAUUUUGUUUUUUACUUUGCCAUGUUACUAUAUUUUCUCAAACUUAAGUACAAUAUUUUAAUCUGUAUCCUCUAUCAAUGACUGAACUUGCCCAAUCUGCAUCAUGUAUAUGAUUCUUUUGUCUCCGCUUGUCUGGUGUACAAUAUUCUACCUCACCCUCUUGCUUUGGUCGACAAGACAGAGGAUUAUCCAGCAUGCGAUGCUGGUGUACUAUAUUAUUGGUAUGAUCCAUUCGAUAGCUUUGUCCUUUAAGAUAUAUCGUGAAAAGGGAAGUUAAUUCCUGUUUUUAGUAUUUUUCUUCUUAAGAAGAAUAAGAAUAAGCCUCCAUCUUCUUUAUCUAAUUUCAAAACCACGAAGGGAUUGAAUUAGAGGCCCAAAUCUCAUUUCAAUUAUUUGGUUAGAUAAUAUAAAUCAGCGGCGAAGCAAUCUAGAACCUGAUUGAUUUUUAAUUUAGACAAAAAUCCCUCUCGAGUUCAAACCCAAUUUAAUUAUUUUUAAUCGGGUACUUCAAAAAAAUAAUUAAUGCUUUUGAAACUUCUACUGCAAGCGGAAAAAACAAGUAAUACGAGUAGAAUCACUAUAUUAAAAUUCUCUAAUUAAUAUAUAAUAUUAUAGUUUUUAUUUAUUAAAAAAUCCUAAACAAAAUUAAAAUAAUAAUAAUAAUAGAAUUUUAAACUAAAUAGGAAAUAAUUCUAAAUCCACUAAUAUAAAAUAUACAGUGUGAUAGAUUUUUUGUGUUUUUAUUUGAAAGUCUUACUGGUUUUAAAUGACUANNNNNNNNNNNNNNNNNNNNNNNNNNNNNNNNNNNNNNNNNNNNNNNNNNNNNNNNNNNNNNNNNNNNNNNNNNNNNNNNNNNNNNNNNNNNNNNNNNNNNNNNNNNNNNNNNNNNNNNNNNNNNNNNNNNNNNNNNNNNNNNNNNNNNNNNNNNNNNNNNNNNNNNNNNNNNNNNNNNNNNNNNNNNNNNNNNNNNNNNNNNNNNNNNNNNNNNNNNNNNNNNNNNNNNNNNNNNNNNNNNNNNNNNNNNNNNNNNNNNNNNNNNNNNNNNNNNNNNNNNNNNNNNNNNNNNNNNNNNNNNNNNNNNNNNNNNNNNNNNNNNNNNNNNNNNNNNNNNNNNNNNNNNNNNNNNNCAUGAGACCGGGGAUAAUCCUAUAAACAAAAAAAAAAAAACAAAUUAUAAAGUUCAUUCUCAACCGACAUAAUGUUGAAUGAUUAAUUUUGAAAAAAAAAGUCAAUAAAAAAGGAUACAAAAAACAACCCGAGUUAACUUCGGUUAACCCGUUUAGCACUAUUCUCAAGUCAUGAGAGCAAGAAAACUUAGUGAAAAAUAAGCCGAAACAAAUCAUAAAGCCUAAUUCCCAAUCAACCAAAUAUUAAAAGAUAAAAUUAAAAAAUAAGACAAUUAAAAAAUAAAAAUAAAAACCGAGUUAACCAGGCUAAGUUGUCAAUCCCACGAUCUAGAUCAUGAGAUUAGAACAACCCAAUAAAAAAAUCAAUGUUGAAAGACUCAUGACCUGGGUAAUGAGACCGAGAUAACCUUAUAGAAAAAAAAUAAAAAUAAUAACUUUAUUUUAAACUUGGUUGACCUGCUAGACCCGCAACCUUGAUCACAAGAUAAGAACAACCUCAUAAAAAAAAUUAAAAAAAAAAUAUAAAGCUCAUUUUCCAACUCGUCUAAUAUUGAAUAAGAAAAUUAAAAAAUAUAUUUUAAAAAAGGCAUAAAAAAUCACCUGAGUUAACUCAGGUUAAUCUGUUAAGUUAUUUAUAAGUCAUGAGUCGUGAUAACCUAAUAGAAAGCAAACUGAAAAAAUCAUAAUGUUCAACUCAAUAUUAAAAAAUCAAAUUGGAGGAAAAUCAAUCAAGAAAAUAAAAAACCUUGAGUCAAUUGAAUUCACCAGUCAAAUUCAUGAUUCAAAUUAUGAGACUGAAACAACCCAAUAAAAAAUAAAUUCAAUGUUAAAAAUGAAAUUGCAAGAAAAAAAAAAGCAUUUAUUAAAAAAAAAUCAAAUGAAAAAAAGAAAGAAAAAAAAAAGGCACUAUAGUGCUUGGUUUAGAGGCCCCUUCGAAAGAAUAUUGGUGAGGUUAUCAUAAAUAUAAUACCUUGCCACAGGUACUUUGCCUUGAUUUUUUCGGAGUUGAUCAAUGGAUUAACCAAGAAAUAGAUUUUACCUCUGAAGAAAAUCUUUGUUUCACUUUCUUAAUACAUUUUACUUUAAGAAACAAGGAGAAAGGAAAAAUAAAAAGGACAAACGAGAAAUUACUUGGUAGAGAUAACCAAGAAAUAGGUUUAUCAAACGAAUGACCUAAUUUUUGUUCUAGAUAACUUCUUGAAGCCGCUGUUUUGAAUUUCAAAUUAUUAAAACUAGAAUUUUUAAACCUGACUUUAUUAUAAUUCAAGUCAUAAGUUUUGUUCAAUUUUAUUUUAACCCUGAUCAACAUGAUAUACUAAACCAAAUUUUAAAACUAUGAUCGAAACACAUCCAAACCACCAUGUGUAUUAUAAUAGUGAUAAUUUUUUAAAAUGUUUUUUAUUUAAAAAUAUGUUAAAAUAUUAUUUUUUUAUUUUUAAAAUUUUAUCUUUAACAUUACUAUAUCAAAUCAAUUUAAAAAUAUAAAAUAAAAUAAAAAUUUAAAAACACACAAGAAAAAUCAAUUCUAAGGUUGAAAUAAAAAUACAUCUAUUUGAUAUGUCAUCUCACCUUAUUUAUUGAACAGUGGUCAUUUCAAUCACAAGUUUGGCCUACUCCACAAGCACAAAACCUACAAGAGGCUCUAUAUUAUAUUUCAAUUGGUUUGUUCAUCGAAGAAGUUAUAUAUAAUGUGGGAUUCAUAAACAAAGAAAAAUAAAUUAAAUACAUUAUUAUGUAAUACUAUUUAACUUGCUUGAUUUACUGCUGCAAAGAUAUUAACUUAUCAGUAACCCUUCUUUUUGGUUAUAAAUAACUACAAAAUUAUAAUUAUAUAUCUAAGAAAUUUUAUAAAUAACUACAAAAUUAUACAAAAAAACUAAAUUCAUUCGUGAAUCACUAUGGCUUGUGAGAGGAUUUGUUGUGAAAAAAAUAUUAAAAUAAAUAUUUUUAUUUUUUAAAUAUUAUUUUUAAUAUCAACAUAUUUAAAAAUACAAAAAACUUAAUUUUAAAUAUUUUUUUAUUAAAAAAACCGUUUAGAAAGCAAUUUUAAACCGCUACCCAUGGGCAAAUGAGUAAUAUAAGAAGUUGAGGAGACGCAACUCAAGUCAACGAGUCUUCUUCUCCAACCAGAAAAGACAUGGGAAAGUGUCUUCUUAUUCACAUUCUUGAAAAUAAUCUCAUCCGCACAAAUAGAGGAGCCUGUAGCUUUCCUCACGAUCUUCUUCCCACCUAUUCCUUACAGAUAACACCCUUCCUUCCUUUUUGGGCUUCUUUGAAUAUCGGGUCCUUUUAAUUAUUUUUCGUUUGGGCUUUCUGUCCCAUAAUCUUUGAUAAAUGGGAAGAAGGAAGAAAAAUGCUUCCCCAGCAAUUGAUUGGUAUCCGAUCUUGAUUGGAAAUCACUGUGUUCUGGAUCUCGUUGGUUGAUCUGUAAUGUAGCAGUAAGCAGCUGUGAUUAUUUAAUUAGCCGUCGGUGAAGAGGUCAAGUUUCAGUUCAGAAGAUGAGGUAUUGAAUACUUGUAGCACUCAACUUUUAUUUGCCUUUCCAUUUCGAUAACAUAUAUAUUCGGCAGCUUCAAUAUGGCCUCCCUAUGUCUUGCCUUGGGUCAACACCCCUUAUUUCCUGCUCUGCCUUCUGAGAGAGCCAGAGACAUGGAGGUCGAACAUUUUAGCCACCCAGAUCAUCCAUUGAUCCUCAUUAAUCAAGUUCUCGAGUAUACUUGUGAAUUAGUUAUUUGCUCUGGAUGCGAGGGACAAAUAUGGGGUCCUUGCUACAGUUGCACCUCUUGCUACUUCUUUCUUCAUAAGAAAUGCGCCGAGCUGCCCCGUGAGAUCAAGCGGCGCAUUCAUCGUAGACACCCUCUCCAUCUACUGGCAAAGUCACCAUAUAAAGGAAAAUACAGUUGUGAUCGGUGCUACAAAACUUUCAACAGUUUUGUUUACCAUUGUUCUUUCUGUAAGUUUGAUCUAGAUAUCAAAUGUGCUUUUCAACCGGGUUUUUUUGAGGUUGAUAGUCAAUUUGCCCAUAAGGAUCAUCCAUUGAUUUUGAAUGAAGAACAAGAAUAUCAUGGUGCAGGAGUUGUGUGCUCUUUGUGCAAGGAACCAAUGUCUGGUCCUAGCUAUAGUUGCACUUCUUGCAACUUCUUUCUUCACAAGAAGUGUGCUGAGCUACCCCCAGAGAUCAAGAGGCACAUUCAUCCAGAACACCCUCUUCGUCUACUGCCAAAUCAUCACAUGAUCUGUGGUUUUUGCAACGAAACUUGCUAUGAGAGUUUUGUUUACUGCUGUUUUGUGUGCGAAUUCAACCUCCAUAUCAAAUGUGCUUUUCCACCGUGCGUUUAUGCAGCUGAUCAGGAUCAAAGGCAUCGAUUUAGACGCCUCCUGAAUCCACUUUCAUUCAAAUCAAUCUCCUUCACCUGCAAUG